Molecule: long non-coding RNA, 1753 nt
Filed under: Brassica napus (rape)
Lineage: Eukaryota; Viridiplantae; Streptophyta; Magnoliopsida; Brassicales; Brassicaceae
Description: long non-coding RNA (BNAP_LNC006459)
Source: RNAcentral
AGUUUCAUGUACCUUCCUGGAGGCUCUAUAAGCGCUCCUGUAACCCCUCCUUUAAGCUCCCCAACAGCUCGUGGAAUGAACCAAAUCAACAACUCUUUCUUUGUAUCCUCAACACCGCCUAGUCCCACUAGGCAGCAGACCGUACCUGGCUCUGAAUGGUUCGCUGGGAUUCAACUCGCGCAAAGCGUUCCUGCUUCACCAACGUUUAGUCUCGUCUCACGAAACCCUUUUGGGUUUAGAGAAGAUCAACUAGCGUCUGCUGGUGGAGGUGGUGGGUCGAGAAUGUGGACGCCAGGUCAAAGCGGGACUUGCUCACCGGCUAUUCCUCAGACAGGAGAUGUUCCAAUGUCUGAAGCUGUGGCUCCUCCAGAGUUUGCGUUUGGGAGUAACGCAAACGGGUUAGUUAAAGCUUGGGAAGGAGAGAGGAUACAUGAAGAGAGUGGUUCUGAUGAUCUCGAGCUCACUCUUGGAAACUCAAGCACAAGGUGUAAUUGAAAACCCGGUUCCAACCAAACCAUUUCUCAAUAUGUCGCUUCAAUAUUUAUUUUCCCAUGUAAGGCCUCAAAGUGAAAUAUUCGUUUAUUUGUAACCAUGCUAACCAACCUUAAAACCCGGUUUGGUAUGGUUCUAAUCAGAUUAUGUUCUUUACAUUUUCGGGUUUAAUGUCAACAGUUUACAGACUCUCAGAGAACGAAUCAAAUUACAUUAUUGUUUCAAAUUUAUUAUUAUUAGUCAACAAUGACCGCUUCAACACGACAAAAUAGAGUUCUUGCAGGUGACAGAGGAGCCUCUGUUUAUAACGGCUACAGAUUCCAUUUUCCGACAUAUAUGGACUUGCUUUUCUUCUGCUUGAUCCUCUUUAAGAGUUACUUUUUGUAAAUGUGUACAUAUGAGACAAUAUAUGAGUAAAAAUACUAUCAUAUGGUAGAAAAAACAAUGGCAUCAUGCUAUCCAUUACUACGCAUCAUACUAUUUGGAUAUUUUAAAACAUUAUAUGAUAAAAACAUGUGAACUAUCAGAUACACUAUGAAUGUUAAUACAACUAAUGAAUUAGUAGAAUCUAACAUUAAUUUUUGAAAAAAUGAGUUAAAAAUCUCAAUAACCAUAUAAAAUUACUUAAAAAUAAUCAGCUGAUCAGUUCGAUAGCCAUAAUUUUUUUUUACCUAAGAGAUUUGACAAUUCUAAUUUGGAAAUUGCAAUAUUGACUUAAGAUCAGCUUCCUAUUUUAAUAAAUUUAGUUCAAUCAGGAAGACAAAAAUAUUUAAAAUAAUUAUUUGUGUAUUAAAAUAUCAAAAACUAUCCUAUAAAAUAGUUUUAGGCUUCUUAAAUAGAAAAUAUUACCGUAAUUUAUGAAUACAACGAUGAAAAAUAGAAAACCUAGAAAAAACCCUAAUUUUUGAAAACCAAUAUAUAAUAUUAAAGUUCUAGCAUAAGACCAUUUCCAUUUUUAGAUAACUUGACACCUAAUUUUAGAGUCUCGCAUAAUCGUUUGAGAGUCUUUCUAACAAAAGAUUCUUCUUAUUUUUUUCUUAUUUUUUUUUUGGUUUUCAUUUUUUAUUCUUAAUGAAUUGAAACGUAAUCAGAAGCUUGAUGAGAUAUUAUUCCCACUAGUACAAACGUGAUUUUUUGGAGGUAGAAGUGUUCUUCCAAAAAUGUAUCCUCAACACCGCCUAGUCCCACUAGGCAGCAGACCGUACCUGACUCUGAAUGGUUCGCUGGGAUUCAACUCGCGCAAAGCGUUCCAGCUUCACCG